CGCGAGGGAAACUUAGAAGCUCAGAACGCCUCGGCGGACAGUUCCAUCAUCGAGUCUGCGCCGCUCUGGACGCGCGAGAGACGCAGCGCCGUUUCGGGCAGCAUCCGUUCCAUGAAGAACUUGCCCGUCACCAGCUUCGACUUCAGGUAGGGCUGCUCGCCGGAUUCCGCCAGCUUGUCCUGCGCAACUUUCGCCAUACGCGCCCACAUGUAGCCGAUCGCGACCAGACCGAAGAGAUGCAUGUAGUCGGUGGACGCCGCACCGGC
This 266-nucleotide unclassified non-coding RNA is filed under the name Hevea brasiliensis (rubber tree). Lineage: Eukaryota; Viridiplantae; Streptophyta; Magnoliopsida; Malpighiales; Euphorbiaceae. The record is from RNAcentral.